CCGGAUUGGAGUCUGCAACUCGACUCCAUGAAGUCGGAAUCGCUAGUAAUCGUGGAUCAGAAUGCCACGGUGAAUACGUUCCCGGGCCUUGUACACACCGCCCGUCACCAUGGGAGUGGGCUGCAAAAGAAGUAGGUAGUUUAACCUUCGGGGGGACGCUUACCACUUUGUGGUUCAUGACUGGGGUGAAGUCGUAACAAGGUAGCGCUAGGGGAACCUGGCGCUGGAUCACCUCCUUAAACGAUGAU
RNAcentral lists this ribosomal RNA (248 nucleotides) under Vibrio parahaemolyticus. RNAcentral's name for it is "partial 16S ribosomal RNA". It matches the Rfam family "Bacterial small subunit ribosomal RNA", at positions 1293 to 1533 of the family's 1533-position model. The record is from RNAcentral. Lineage: Bacteria; Pseudomonadati; Pseudomonadota; Gammaproteobacteria; Vibrionales; Vibrionaceae.